GCCCUCAGAGCACAAGCCAAGGAGUGCGUUGUUACCGCAGCCGAUGUCGAUGAAGCCAGAGCUUGCUUGAAAGAUGUCCUUCAAGCUGCCCGUGAAGGAGCCAAGGACUUGGCCAAGGCUUUCAAAGAAACCUGGUCCCAAUUGGGCAACUUGGUUCGUGAAGUCGGCAAAUGCGCAAGAGGAGCCGUGAAGGAAUUCAGAGAUAACUUGGUACAAGUCCGUAAAGACUGUGCUGACUGCUUAAAACUUACUGACAACUAAAUUAGUUUAGGAAUUUUAUAACAAACUGUAAUUUGCUUAAAUUUGCUUUAUGAUCAGCUAGUUGUAUAUUAUUUGUAAUUUGAUGGUUUUAGUUUUUUAUGUAACAUUUUGACAAAUAAAAAUUGUUUAUGAAAAUA
Long non-coding RNA from Ctenocephalides felis (cat flea), 398 nucleotides. RefSeq lists it as uncharacterized. NCBI's taxonomy places the organism in Eukaryota, Metazoa, Arthropoda, Insecta, Siphonaptera, Pulicidae. The transcript has 2 exons. The record is from RefSeq and is a predicted model, not a curated record.